This 406-nucleotide ribosomal RNA is filed under the name uncultured bacterium. Its description in RNAcentral is "partial 16S ribosomal RNA". It matches the Rfam family "Bacterial small subunit ribosomal RNA", at positions 30 to 526 of the family's 1533-position model. The record is from RNAcentral.
AUUGAACGCUGGCGGCAGGCCUAACACAUGCAAGUCGAACGCUUGGCGGACGGGUGAGUAAUGUCUGGGAAACUGCCUGAUGGAGGGGGAUACCUCCUGGAAACGGUCGCUAAUCCCGCCUACCAUCGUCUGUGCCCAGAUGGGAUUAGCUUGUAGGUGGGGUAAAGGCUCACCUAGGCGACGAUCCCUAGCUGGUCUGAGAGGAUGACCAGCCACACUGGAACGGAGACACGGUCCAGACGCCUACGGGAGGCAGCAGGGGGGAAUAUUGCACAAUGGGCGCAAGCCUGAUGCAGCCAUGCCGCGUGUAUGAAGAAGGCCUUCGGGUUGUAAAGUACUUUCAGCGUGGAGGCGUUACCCGCAGAAGAAGCACCGGCUAACUCCGUGCCAGCAGCCGCGGUAAUUC